GAUGAAGAACGCAGCGAAAUGCGAUAAGUAAUGCGAAUUGCAGAAUUUCCGUGAGUCAUCGAAUCUUUGAACGCACAUUGCGCCCACUGGUAUUCCGGUGGGCAUGCCUGUUCGAGCGUCAUUAUCCUCCCUCAAACCCCGGGUUUGGUGUUGGACCCAAGUUGUGUGAACAACUGGUCUCAAAGACAAUGACGGCGUCCGUGGGACCCUCGGUGCAACGAGCUUUUAGGAGCACGCAUCGAGUUGCAAGGACCUUCCGGGCCGGUCUCCUUUACCAUUUUACAAGGUUGACCUCGGAUCAGGUAGGAAUACCCGCUGAACUUAAGCAUAUCAAUAAGCGGGGA
This 344-nucleotide unclassified non-coding RNA is filed under the name soil metagenome. RNAcentral's name for it is "partial contains 5.8S ribosomal RNA, internal transcribed spacer 2, and large subunit ribosomal RNA". The stretch from base 1 to 121 matches the Rfam family "5.8S ribosomal RNA", at positions 35 to 154 of the family's 154-position model. The record is from RNAcentral.